UCUGGGUCUUCAGGGCUCCGAGGAUCUGG
RNAcentral lists this non-coding RNA (29 nucleotides) under Homo sapiens (human). Lineage: Eukaryota; Metazoa; Chordata; Mammalia; Primates; Hominidae. The record is from RNAcentral.